UCCUACGGGAGGCAGCAGUGGGGAAUAUUGCACAAUGGGCGCAAGCCUGAUGCAGCAACGCCGCGUGAGGGACGAAGGCCUUCGGGUUGUAAACCUCUUUUAGUAGGGAAGAAGCGACUGGGUUUUCCUGGGAGUGACGGUACCUGCAGAAAAAGCGCCGGCUAACUACGUGCCAGCAGCCGCGGUAAUACGUAGGGUGCAAGCGUUGUCCGGAAUUAUUGGGCGUAAAGAGCUCGUAGGCGGUUUGUCGCGUCUGCUGUGAAAACCCGAGGCUCAACCUCGGGCCUGCAGUGGGUACGGGCAGACUAGAGUGCGGUAGGGGAGAUUGGAAUUCCUGGUGUAGCGGUGGAAUGCGCAGAUAUCAGGAGGAACACCAAUGGCGAAGGCAGAUCUCUGGGCCGUAACUGACGCUGAGGAGCGAAAGCAUGGGGAGCGAACAGGAUUAGAUACCCUGGUAGUCCAUGCCGUAAACGUUGGGAACUAGAUGUGGGGACCAUUCCACGGUCUCCGUGUCGCAGCUAACGCAUUAAGUUCCCCGCCUGGGGAGUACGGCCGCAAGGCUAAAACUCAAAGGAAUUGACGGGGGCCCGCACAAGCGGCGGAGCAUGCGGAUUAAUUCGAUGCAACGCGAAGAACCUUACCAAGGCUUGACAUAUACCGGAAACGGCUGGAAACAGUCGCCCCGCAAGGUCGGUAUACAGGUGGUGCAUGGUUGUCGUCAGCUCGUGUCGUGAGAUGUUGGGUUAAGUCCCGCAACGAGCGCAACCCUCGUCCUAUGUUGCCAGCACGUAAUGGUGGGAACUCAUGGGAUACUGCCGGGGUCAACUCGGAGGAAGGUGGGGAUGACGUCAAAUCAUCAUGCCCCUUAUGUCUUGGGCUUCACGCAUGCUACAAUGGCCGGUACAAAGGGCUGCGAUACCGCAAGGUGGAGCGAAUCCCAAAAAGCCGGUCUCAGUUCGGAUUGAGGUCUGCAACUCGACCUCAUGAAGUCGGAGUCGCUAGUAAUCGCAGAUCAGCAACGCUGCGGUGAAUACGUUCCCGGGCCUUGUACACACCGCC
Molecule: ribosomal RNA, 1059 nt
Filed under: uncultured Cryobacterium sp.
Lineage: Bacteria; Bacillati; Actinomycetota; Actinomycetes; Micrococcales; Microbacteriaceae
Description: bacterial SSU rRNA
Rfam family: Bacterial small subunit ribosomal RNA
Source: RNAcentral